AGACCCGAAACCCGGUGAUCUAGCCAUGGGCAGGUUGAAGGUUGGGUAACACUAACUGGAGGACCGAACCGACUAAUGUUGAAAAAUUAGCGGAUGACCUGUGGCUGGGGGUGAAAGGCCAAUCAAACCGGGAGAUAGCUGGUUCUCCCCGAAAGCUAUUUAGGUAGCGCCUCGUGAAUUCAUCUCCGGGGGUAGAGCACUGUUUCGGCUAGGGGGCCAUCCCGGCUUACCAACCCGAUGCAAACUGCGAAUACCGGAGAAUGUUAUCACGGGAGACACACGGCGGGUGCUAACGUCCGUCGUGAAGAGGGAAACAACCCAGACCGCCAGCUAAGGUCCCAAAGUCAUGGUUAAGUGGGAAACGAUGUGGGAAGGCCCAGACAGCCAGGAUGUUGGCUUAGAAGCAGCCAUCAUUUAAAGAAAGCGUAAUAGCUCACUGGUCGAGUCGGCCUGCGCGGAAGAUGUAACGGGGCUAAACCAUGCACCGAAGCUGCGGCAGCGACACUGUGUGUUGUUGGGUAGGGGAGCGUUCUGUAAGCCUGUGAAGGUGGCCUGUGAGGGUUGCUGGAGGUAUCAGAAGUGCGAAUGCUGACAUAAGUAACGAUAAAGCGGGUGAAAAGCCCGCUCGCCGGAAGACCAAGGGUUCCUGUCCAACGUUAAUCGGGGCAGGGUGAGUCGACCCCUAAGGCGAGGCCGAAAGGCGUAGUCGAUGGGAAACGGGUUAAUAUUCCCGUACUUGGUGUUACUGCGAAGGGGGGACGGAGAAGGCUAUGUUGGCCGGGCGACGGUUGUCCCGGUUUAAGCGUGUAGGUGUGUGUUCCAGGUAAAUCCGGUUCACUUUAACACUGAGGCGUGACGACGAGGCACUACGGUGCUGAAGCAACAAAUGCCCUGCUUCCAGGAAAAGCCUCUAAGCAUCAGGUAACAUCAAAUCGUACCCCAAACCGACACAGGUGGUCAGGUAGAGAAUACCAAGGCGCUUGAGAGAACUCGGGUGAAGGAACUAGGCAAAAUGGUGCCGUAACUUCGGGAGAAGGCACGCUGACACGUAGGUGAAGUGAUUUACUCACGGAGCUGAAGUCAGUCGAAGAUACCAGCUGGCUGCAACUGUUUAUUAAAAACACAGCACUGUGCAAACACGAAAGUGGACGUAUACGGUGUGACGCCUGCCCGGUGCCGGAAGGUUAAUUGAUGGGGUCAGCGCAAGCGAAGCUCCUGAUCGAAGCCCCGGUAAACGGCGGCCGUAACUAUAACGGUCCUAAGGUAGCGAAAUUCCUUGUCGGGUAAGUUCCGACCUGCACGAAUGGCGUAAUGAUGGCCAGGCUGUCUCCACCCGAGACUCAGUGAAAUUGAACUCGCUGUGAAGAUGCAGUGUACCCGCGGCAAGACGGAAAGACCCCGUGAACCUUUACUAUAGCUUGACACUGAACAUUGAGCCUUGAUGUGUAGGAUAGGUGGGAGGCUUUGAAGCGUGGACG
RNAcentral lists this ribosomal RNA (1478 nucleotides) under Salmonella enterica. RNAcentral's name for it is "partial 23S ribosomal RNA". It matches the Rfam family "Bacterial large subunit ribosomal RNA", at positions 711 to 2170 of the family's 2925-position model. Lineage: Bacteria; Pseudomonadati; Pseudomonadota; Gammaproteobacteria; Enterobacterales; Enterobacteriaceae. The record is from RNAcentral.